GUUCCCAGCUGGUGAUGCUUGGCUGAGCUGGAACUGCAACUGCAGCAGGCUGAUGCUCCGGGUACCAAGCCGUGCCAGACACUCCCCAGGAAGUGCAGCGAGAGCUGGGUCAAGAACCUCCUUUCUACUCCUAAAAAUCCCCUUGUAAGCUUGCAGGUUUCAGGAUGUAGUCCCAGGUGACCUGGAGCUCACUGUGUACACCAGGCUGGACUCAAGCAUCUGCCUCCUGGGUGCUGGGAUUGAAGAAGUGGCACUCCAAGCCCAGCCCUCUAAAUUGCAACAUUCUUAAGAAACAGCGAGAUCCACAUUUCCCAUUUAAUGAAAACUAGGAUAAUAGUUAAAAUACCUUUUAAAUCAAUCUUUAUAAAUAACACAUUGACAUAAAAAUUAUCUAGGAGCACAAAACACAGUCCCACUUGUCUGAUCAGCUUCGACGUCUCCAUUUCAGUAACUUAUUUCCAUGCUGUCAGUAACUUUUACUCAGUGAAAGUCUAAUAAUAUCAAGAAUGCUUAAAUCAGAGUUCAUGUGCCCCAAAGGUUUGUUUUGUACUUUAGGGGAGUGCAGUCUAAGUGCUGAGAACCACAGCCAUAUGGGAUAAAUAGAAGCAAUGUUGAAGUGUCUUUACAAAUAAAGAAUUUAAAUAGAA
This is a long non-coding RNA of Mesocricetus auratus (golden hamster), 647 nucleotides long. RefSeq lists it as uncharacterized. The record is from RefSeq and is a predicted model, not a curated record. The transcript has 3 exons. NCBI's taxonomy places the organism in Eukaryota, Metazoa, Chordata, Mammalia, Rodentia, Cricetidae.